Lepisosteus oculatus (spotted gar) is the source of this 1281-nucleotide non-coding RNA. The record is from RefSeq and is a predicted model, not a curated record. NCBI's taxonomy places the organism in Eukaryota, Metazoa, Chordata, Actinopteri, Semionotiformes, Lepisosteidae.
GAGUGUUAAAACUACAGUGUUAAAAGACAGUACCUGGUAAGACAGACAUUUUUGGUGAUCUCAUUUAGUUCUGCUUUGAAGUUUGACUACAAUGCGCUGGAAAUCGAUGCUCUUGCCUAACCUGUUGCCAUAUGUAAAAACUGAAAAAAUUAACAUUUCAUCUGCUGCACAUGCAAAUUAUCCAACUGCAAACUAAGAUAAGACCUGUCAAAAACUGUAUAUAGUUUUAUCUAAUAACAGUUUGACAGACCCACAGAACAGUCCAUAAAGGGCAGGAUUGGUAGAAGGAUGGGGUUAUGAAGAGGAUUAUAUGGGAGGGCACAGUACUUUGAUUCAAAUCCAGUCAGUAGGAAAAAAUCCUUUCAUUAAACAUUUGUUAUUAAAGAGGUUAACAGAGCAAUCAGCAGCUAUAUAAUUAUUUUUCAUCUUGCUAGAUAUUAACCUUUAUAUUUGCACAUUGAAUUUAAGGGAAUGGGCAGUGAAAUUGUGCUCUAAAUCAUUAAGGUUGUAAUUGUUUAGAAUGACUUAUUUUUCUCUGCAAAGCUACUGAAGUUUAUAGCAUGACAUGACAUCGCUGUAAUGUUCUCCCCAGCAGGUGCACUGUGGGCAGCGCUAAUAGUGCGACAUCACAGCCAGCUGCAUUUUGGCUGUCGGGCAGCCAUGGAAGCGAAUCGCCUGGAGUCCCUGAGCAGGUGGAACAGGUUUACGGCCGUGCCCCAGCGAGUCCAGGGUUGCAGGGGGGCUGUGAAACUAUCUUGGCAAGCAAAGGGCAAGGCAGGAACCUGCUGCAGAGGACACAUCUGAAGAAAACCCUCAUGAACACAAGGGGAACAUACAAACCUCCUCACAGACAGAACCCCAGCUCAGGAAUUGGACCCACUGCUGCACUGCUAGCAACUGUCACCAUGCUGCUUCAUUUGCAGACUUACUUGAGUGCUCAAGAUAUGCUGUUUACGAAAUGGUCCGAAAAUAGUGAAGACUAAGGUGCAGAUGGAAGGACUAAGUUCUCAUGAAACUGACCAACAAGAAUGACGCUCACCUCCAGGCACCCAGAAUCGACUUUUCGAUUAAGUUUCUGUCCCAGGGGAGUUCUCCAGACAUCAGCCACUAAUCAACAGAUUUUCCCCCAUCUGCACCCUGUUGUGAAAACCCAGAUCAAGCUUUACAGAACACACACAAAAUGAAUUGAGUUGCCUUUCUGGAAAGUCCAGCUCCACGUUCUUCGGAACAGUUCAAGCCGAUCUGCCCUGAUUCUCAGUUUGCAUGUCACACUUGAAUCAU